UCAACGGCCGCGGUAUUCCUGACCGUGCUAAGGUAGCACAAUAAUGUGCCUCUUAAUUAGAGGAUAGAAUGAAUGAAUUAACAUGAAAGGCUCUGUCUCUUUUAUACAUAGUGAAAUUUAGUUUCAGGUGAAAACUCCUGAAUUUUUAAUAAAGACAGAAAGACCCUAAAAGCUUUUAUUAAACUAUGACGUUAAUAGCUAAAUAUUUAACUGGGGCGAUUAUAAGUAAAAACACUUCACACAAGUAGAUAUAUUAAUCACAUAAAUUAUCUAAUAACACACAAGUAAGUUACUUUAGGGAUAACAGGCUAAUAUUUUUUAAGAGCACACAUCAACAAAAAUGUUUAGCACCUCGAUGUUGGCUUAGGAAACCCACUAUAUGCAGAAGUAUAGCUGGGGGGUUUGUUCAACCUUCAAUUUCC
This 422-nucleotide ribosomal RNA is filed under the name Syllis tripantu. Its description in RNAcentral is "partial 16S ribosomal RNA". It matches the Rfam family "Bacterial large subunit ribosomal RNA", at positions 1924 to 2596 of the family's 2925-position model. Lineage: Eukaryota; Metazoa; Annelida; Polychaeta; Phyllodocida; Syllidae. The record is from RNAcentral.